UAAACUGAAGAGUUUGAUCAUGGCUCAGAUUGAACGCUGGCGGCAGGCUUAACACAUGCAAGUCGAGCGGUAACAGGUCCUUCGGGAUGCUGACGAGCGGCGGACGGGUGAGUAAUACAUAGGAAUCUGCCCAGUAGUGGGGGAUAGCCCGGGGAAACCCGGAUUAAUACCGCAUACGCCCUUUGGGGGAAAGCAGGGGAUCUUCGGACCUUGCGCUAUUGGAUGAGCCUAUGUCGGAUUAGCUAGUUGGUGGGGUAAAGGCCUACCAAGGCGACGAUCCGUAGCUGGUCUGAGAGGAUGAUCAGCCACAUCGGGACUGAGACACGGCCCGAACUCCUACGGGAGGCAGCAGUGGGGAAUAUUGGACAAUGGGGGCAACCCUGAUCCAGCCAUGCCGCGUGUGUGAAGAAGGCUUUCGGGUUGUAAAGCACUUUCAGUGAGGAGGAAAACCUUAUGGCCAAUACCCAUGAGGCUUGACGUUACUCACAGAAGAAGCACCGGCUAACUCCGUGCCAGCAGCCGCGGUAAUACGGAGGGUGCAAGCGUUAAUCGG
Molecule: ribosomal RNA, 553 nt
Filed under: Marinobacter vulgaris
Lineage: Bacteria; Pseudomonadati; Pseudomonadota; Gammaproteobacteria; Pseudomonadales; Marinobacteraceae
Description: bacterial SSU rRNA
Rfam family: Bacterial small subunit ribosomal RNA
Source: RNAcentral